CGUGAAAGAAGAGUGAAAGAGUUGCAGAGAGGGAGAGAACCUCAUAUAGGGAGAGUUUCAGUGAGCUUGUGGAUUGUGAUUAUUGAUCAUACUUGAAGAGAUGAAUGGAUUUAUAGAGUUUGAAUGUAACAAACUCGGGCAACCUAUGAGGCAACUCUGUUAAUGGAGUUAGGGCAGGGUUAUUUCUAAGUGAAAUUGAGAGGGAAGUUUGUUAGAAGUUCAUUAACAGAGUUAAAUCUGUUAGUAAUUUUUCAGUUAGGUGUUAGUUGUAUUGGUUUGAAGGUUGAGUGUAAUUGAA
RNAcentral lists this long non-coding RNA (298 nucleotides) under Lathyrus oleraceus (garden pea). RNAcentral describes it as "Pisum sativum (pea) long non-coding RNA (PSAT_LNC028770)". The record is from RNAcentral. Lineage: Eukaryota; Viridiplantae; Streptophyta; Magnoliopsida; Fabales; Fabaceae.